Molecule: non-coding RNA, 1180 nt
Organism: Macaca mulatta (Rhesus monkey)
Lineage: Eukaryota; Metazoa; Chordata; Mammalia; Primates; Cercopithecidae
Source: RefSeq, a predicted model, not a curated record
AAGAAGAAAUAAAUGAGUAGAUGAAUAAAGGAAAAAUGAGGUACUGAAGAAGAAUGAAGACUUUCUAAUAUAUAUUCUUCGAUCAGAUGCUUGCCCUGGAAACCAACCAUGAUGCUGUGAUGAAAUCCAGGCAACUGAGUUGUGUUUCAGCCCAAAGCAGCAAAUGGGAUCCAGCUUCAGGACCAUCAUCUGACAUAGGGGAAGAAGACUUACAUAUAAUAUCUAACCAGCACCCAAGAUCAUGUAAAGCCAAAAUAUAGGCUAUGUCUGAUAUAAACAGUAAGUAAACAUGGUUUUGAAAUGGAAAUGGGCUUAGAAGUAGAUCUGAUGCUAUAAGUACCUCUAAUCCUGAUGCAAAUAUGCCAUUAGUGAAUUCUGUAAUAUAUGUAAGGUGAAAAUUUUUCUCAACAGGGAAAAAAAGUAAGAAUUUGAAAUAAGGUGAUGCGAGCUGGUCUAAUUUUCCACUUUGUGUCACAUGCUGAUGGCCCUCAUAAUUCAUACCUCGGGGAAAGUACAAGCAAGGCAGGAGAAGUCUGAAACCAUAUAAGUCCUACUGUAUUAGUGAAAGUGCCGAUUAGAGAACAUGUUAUAUUAUCAACAAGAAAUCAUGAGAGCAUUAGUGCAUAGUUGAGAAGGAAAAUAAUUUGGCUUAAGAGGAUUAGAAAUCCCCAGUUUCUAGUUAAAAGUAAUUCAACCACAUAGCAAAUAAACAAAUUCAAUAAUAUUUGAGGUUUAUGAUUAAAGAUAGCCAGAAGGAGAGAAAUGACAAUGUGAUGAUACAUGCAAAGCUUUGUUUUCAGAGCUUCUGAAAAAAAUCUGUUUCAGAAAUGUCUCCCAGGGGGGAGAAAAACAAAGCUUGCUGUUGCUGUUAAACCCUUGUGGCUAAACCAUUGUUUUGCAUUGAUUUGUAAUGUGUUCCUUUUUCCUAAGAAUGUCACAUUAUUUAUUGAAAUCAUGAUAUUAGAGUAAUUGAUAUACAGUUAAAGCAUUCUAAAAAAUAAACUUUACAAGAAUUGUGAUUCAUUUAUCUUUGAUUUUAUUGUUUUUUUGUGUGGGUCAUUUAUGCAUCAAUCUUCAAUACAGUUUCAUUUGCUUUAUGCUCAUGUAUUAUUUGUAAAGUCUGUUGAUGUUUCACCAAUGGUUAACAAAUCAAUAGAGACAGAAAAAAAGAGAAAGAAAA